ACGAGUGGUGCAAGCGUUAUUCGGAAUCAUUGGGCGUACAGGGUGUGUAGGCGGUAUGUUAAGUCUGUUGUUAAAUCCUCCGGCCUAACCGGAGAUAGGCAGCGGAAACUGGCGAACUAGAGGGUGGAAGAGAGAAGUGGAAUUCUCGGUGUAGCGGUAAAAUGCGUAGAUAUCGAGAGGAACACCGAUGGCGAAGGCAGCUUCUUGGUCCAUUCCUGACGCUGAAACACGAAAGCGUGGGGAGCAAACAG
Molecule: ribosomal RNA, 251 nt
Filed under: uncultured prokaryote
Description: partial 16S rRNA
Rfam family: Bacterial small subunit ribosomal RNA
Source: RNAcentral